RNAcentral lists this long non-coding RNA (306 nucleotides) under Felis catus (domestic cat). RNAcentral's name for it is "lncRNA (ENSFCAG00000042386.2)". The record is from RNAcentral. Lineage: Eukaryota; Metazoa; Chordata; Mammalia; Carnivora; Felidae.
UGAAAAGACUGGCACAUGGUCAUGUGUACACAACUCUUCCAUUAAGAUGGAUCUCUUGCUGAAAGAAAUCACUCAAAAGAGAUUUCCAAAAAAGGAUGGAAAUGAAAACCAUUGAAAUCAUCUAAGGUACAUCAUCUGUUGCUGAAAUUUGUACUUUAGAUCCUAGUAAGGACUAAAGGUUAUCAUCUGCCUAUUGUCUGGCCUUCCCUGUGGGAUAUAGGUUUAAGGAAGGAGAUAUCUCUGCCUCAAGAAUGGCUACAUUGAGAAUCAGUCACAAGAAAUAUCAACCAACAUAAACCUCUUUGA